GGGGGCGUAGCUCAGGUGGAUAGAGCAACGGCCUUCUAAGCCGUAGGUCGUGCGUUCGAGUCGCACCGCCCCUACCA
RNAcentral lists this transfer RNA (77 nucleotides) under Terriglobia bacterium. RNAcentral describes it as "tRNA-Arg". It matches the Rfam family "tRNA". From Rfam's summary of the family: Transfer RNA (tRNA) molecules are approximately 80 nucleotides in length. Their secondary structure includes four short double-helical elements and three loops (D, anti-codon, and T loops). Further hydrogen bonds mediate the characteristic L-shaped molecular structure. tRNAs have two regions of fundamental functional importance: the anti-codon, which is responsible for specific mRNA codon recognition, and the 3' end, to which the tRNAs corresponding amino acid is attached (by aminoacyl-tRNA synthetases). tRNAs cope with the degeneracy of the genetic code in two manners: having more than one tRNA (with a specific anti-codon) for a particular amino acid; and 'wobble' base-pairing, i.e. permitting non-standard base-pairing at the 3rd anti-codon position. The record is from RNAcentral. Lineage: Bacteria; Pseudomonadati; Acidobacteriota; Terriglobia.